CACGGAGUUAGCCGAUCCUUAUUCUUCCAGUACAUUCAGCUUCCUACACGUAGAAAGGUUUAUUCCUGGACAAAAGCAGUUUACAACCCAUAGGGCAGUCAUCCUGCACGCGGCAUGGCUGGUUCAGGCUUCCGCCCAUUGACCAAUAUUCCUUACUGCUGCCUCCCGUAGGAGUCUGGUCCGUGUCUCAAUACCAGUGUGGGGGAUUCUCCUCUCAGAGCCCCUAGACAUCGUCGCCUUGGUAAGCCGUUACCCUACCAACUAGCUAAUGUCACGCGAGCCCAUCUCCAUCCUAUAAAUAUUUAAUCAACUGAACAUGCGAACUGUUGAUAUUAUGCGGUGUUAAUCUCUCUUUCGAGAGGCUAUCCCCUGAUAGAGGUAGGUUGCUCACGCGUUACGCACCGUCGCGCCACUCUCACCGUCUUCGAGCAAGCUCUCCGCGGAUCCCGUCCGACUUGCAUGUAUUAGGUCCGUGCCGCUGCGUUCA
Molecule: ribosomal RNA, 487 nt
Filed under: uncultured Sphingobacterium sp.
Lineage: Bacteria; Pseudomonadati; Bacteroidota; Sphingobacteriia; Sphingobacteriales; Sphingobacteriaceae
Description: partial 16S ribosomal RNA
Source: RNAcentral